Molecule: long non-coding RNA, 330 nt
Organism: Rhagoletis pomonella (apple maggot)
Lineage: Eukaryota; Metazoa; Arthropoda; Insecta; Diptera; Tephritidae
Exons: 3
Source: RefSeq, a predicted model, not a curated record
AAUAGAACAAGGAGUGCGCAUUGAAAUUUUAUCUUUUCCAUCAGAAAGCGCAACGCCCGGAUCAGGAUCAACAGAAUCCAUUUCUUCUAGUUUUCUUGGUGCGGUUAAUGAUUUAAAUGAAAUUUCGUUAUUAGGAAUUUUAAAGUCUAACGUGAAUGGAAAUGCUGUUUUAAAAUACUUUGAAAAUAAUCAAAGUUUAUCAACCAAGACUCGGAAACUUUUAUGUUCCUCGAUCACGGAAUACUUAAUUUAUAACAAAAUUAAGCCAACAAGAUUUCAUUUUUCGAAUUUAGCGGACAAAAUUAUACAACUUUUCCCAAAGGAAUCUAA